This 82-nucleotide transfer RNA is filed under the name Pseudomonadota bacterium. RNAcentral's name for it is "tRNA-Leu". It matches the Rfam family "tRNA". From Rfam's summary of the family: Transfer RNA (tRNA) molecules are approximately 80 nucleotides in length. Their secondary structure includes four short double-helical elements and three loops (D, anti-codon, and T loops). Further hydrogen bonds mediate the characteristic L-shaped molecular structure. tRNAs have two regions of fundamental functional importance: the anti-codon, which is responsible for specific mRNA codon recognition, and the 3' end, to which the tRNAs corresponding amino acid is attached (by aminoacyl-tRNA synthetases). tRNAs cope with the degeneracy of the genetic code in two manners: having more than one tRNA (with a specific anti-codon) for a particular amino acid; and 'wobble' base-pairing, i.e. permitting non-standard base-pairing at the 3rd anti-codon position. Lineage: Bacteria; Pseudomonadati; Pseudomonadota. The record is from RNAcentral. RNAcentral also lists the same sequence under 1 other name.
GCGAGGGUGGCGGAACCGGCAGACGCGCGGGUCUUAGAAGCCCGUUCCGAAAGGAGUGCGGGUUCGACUCCCGCCCCUCGCA